Molecule: ribosomal RNA, 398 nt
Filed under: uncultured bacterium
Lineage: Bacteria
Description: bacterial SSU rRNA
Rfam family: Bacterial small subunit ribosomal RNA
Source: RNAcentral
GAAUUCACUAGUGAUUCAGGCCUAACACAUCCAAGUCGAGCGGUAGAGAGAAGCUUGCUUCUCUUGAGAGAGACGGACGGGUGAGUAAUGCCUAGGAAUCUGCCUGGUAGUGGGGGAUAACGUUCGGAAACGGACGCUAAUACCGCAUACGUCCUACGGGAGAAAGCAGGGGACCUUCGGGCCUUGCGCUAUCAGAUGAGCCUAGGUCGGAUUAGCUAGUUGGUGAGGUAAUGGCUCACCAAGGCGACGAUCCGUAACUGGUCUGAGAGGAUGAUCAGUCACACUGGAACUGAGACACGGUCCAGACUCCUACGGGAGGCAGCAGUGGGGAAUAUUGGACAAUGGGCGAAAGCCUGAUCCAGCCAAGGCGCGUGUGUGAAGAAGGUCUUCGGAUUGUA